Long non-coding RNA from Condylostylus longicornis, 632 nucleotides. RefSeq lists it as uncharacterized. The record is from RefSeq and is a predicted model, not a curated record. Lineage: Eukaryota; Metazoa; Arthropoda; Insecta; Diptera; Dolichopodidae. The transcript is spliced from 3 exons.
UAUAAAGAUUGAUGACCGAAUCAACAAUAUUUUUACAAUUGCAUAAAUGCAUAAAUUAAAUAUUGACAAAAGAAGAGUUUACUAUGCAUUCUCUAGGGUUUUCUCAAAUUGGUAAAAGGGGAAAACAUGUAAUAGUGACUAAUCCCCAAACACAAUGAUUCGCAAAUAUAUCGAAAGCUUCAAAACUGUUGAUUCACAUUAUUCCCGGUCAUCUACAACGUAUAUAAUAGUGAAUGCAUCAUAAAUGCAAAAGCGAAUGCAAAGGGACAAGCGUUAUUUAUACGGAAAAAAUGGGAAUUUAGUUGAAGCAGAAAAAAGCAAGUAAGCAAAAAAAAUAUGAGAAUUUGCAAAUGCGGAGAUAAUUAUACCAUAGGAGAAGUUUAAUCAACAACGAAAAUUGGAGAGAGAAACUGUGUUGUACUCAAUUUAUAUGCAAAAGAAUAUUCUGAAACACUUUUUCGUAAUAAAAAUUGUGCCGAUGGUAAAAUAAAGUGUUUAAUAUAAUAAAAAUAUUUAAAAAGAUAUAUGAAAGUGCAAGUAACAAAUAAUAAUUCACCAUUUUCAUAUUCGAUUUUUAUUUUUGCUUAAAACUUCUGUUUCUUACUGCAAAAAGUUCAUGCAAUUUCAUAUUU